AGAACGAACGCUGGCGGCAGGCCUAAAACAUGCAAGUUGAACGGCUGUAGCAAUACAGCAGUAGCGCACGGGUGAGUAAUAUAUGGGAACAUGUCUUUUUGGUGGGGAAUAUUCUCUGGAAACGGAGAGCAAUACCGCAUAAGCCCUACGGGGGAAAGAUUUAUCGCCGAUAGAGUGGCCCAUAUUGGAUUAGCUAGUUGGUUGGGUAACGGCUGACCAAGGCGACGAUCCAUAGCUGAUCUGAGAGGAUGAUCAGCCACACUGGGACUGAGACACGGCCCAGACUCCUACGGGAGGCAGCAGUUAGGAAUAUUGGACAAUGGGGGCAACCCUGAAUCCAGCCAUGCCGCGUGAGUGUUAAGGCCUUCGGGUUGUAAAGCUCUUUUGUAUGGGAAAAUGAUGAUGGUACCAUAAGAAUAAGCACCGGCUAACUUCGUGCCAGCCGCCGC
This 449-nucleotide ribosomal RNA is filed under the name uncultured bacterium. RNAcentral's name for it is "bacterial SSU rRNA". It matches the Rfam family "Bacterial small subunit ribosomal RNA", at positions 26 to 518 of the family's 1533-position model. The record is from RNAcentral.